UCUCAAUGAUGAUUAAUUCAUGAUGACGAGUCUGAUUAUCCAUUCUUAAAUCAUGACGACAUAUCGAGGCAUUUGUCUGAGAGAA
Small nucleolar RNA from Erigeron canadensis, 85 nucleotides. NCBI's taxonomy places the organism in Eukaryota, Viridiplantae, Streptophyta, Magnoliopsida, Asterales, Asteraceae. The record is from RefSeq and is a predicted model, not a curated record.